This is a non-coding RNA of Lolium perenne, 3501 nucleotides long. The record is from RefSeq and is a predicted model, not a curated record. Lineage: Eukaryota; Viridiplantae; Streptophyta; Magnoliopsida; Poales; Poaceae.
CAAUACUCUCAUCUCUCUCCCCCAAUCCCCUCCUCUCUCUCUUCUCCCCCAAUCCCAUAGCGCCUCCCGCGGGUCUUGCGCUCGAUCUCGCCGGCGAGCAGCCCAUUGCGCCGCCUGCGGGUCUCCUCCACAUGUCGGCCGCCUCGGUGGGCGAGCAGCAGAAGAACGCGAUGGGGCGAGCGCUUGACGAGCGGGAGCUCCGUGGUGAGCAGCGGCCGCUGCAUCUGGUCGGCGGCGCGGCUGCACCGACGGGUGAAAACGCUAGCGCGCCGCCUCACAAUCCCGAACGUCCGUCCUCAUCACCUUCGUCCUCAGCUUCCAGUCUGCAAGGGGAAGAUGAGGCAGAGACCAAGAAGCAGAGCCCGCCUGCAGGAUAAAGAGGAGGCAAAACGUGAUUUUGAAGCAAAUCAAUUUCAGGCAGAAGGAACUCAAAAAUAGUGAUGGCAGGGGAUAUUACCAUAAUGCAAAAAUAUGCUGCAAGUCAAUUCAGGUUUUCCAGGUCAUUUUUAAUUUACAAACUAUGUAAGAAAUAGUGACCGUGUGUUAUAUAGUAGCAUCGUAUGAUAUCUUCAACAUAGGAAUUACUUGUAGAUUGUCCCAUAUUUCGUUAAAAGAUGCAUGGUUUCAUUUUACAUGUUAACUGUAUUUCAGAUUUCAGUAGUAUUAAAUAUGGCAGAAAACAUCGGAGGAGAAGACCUUUAUCUGAAGAAAAAGAUGAAGACCGCUGGCCAUGGCCAACAUUUUCCUAUGAAGAAAACAAAUAAGGUUGCGGUGCAAGGUGGUCCCCUGCAGCUUGUGGAGGUGGUUGGCCUUGGCCAGGACAAAUUGUCGAUGCCGGUAACCUCUCUAUAUCCACUCCGUAGAGUUGGUGUUCUUCAUCCCCUUAUCUGAAAAUUCAUUUAGAAUAAGGCCACUUGCGCAUCCCGGGCACCUGCAAGCAAGCUCCACCAGAAUCUCCGUUUCCACUUCAGUUGUAGGCGAAGUCUAAAAUAGCUCUGCGGCAUUCUGCUCUAUUUGAGUAUUGCAAAGCACUCCAAGAGGUCUUUGUUUUCUUUGCCGUUGCUAAAUUUAGCAAAUAUGUAUCAUUUAAAAUAAAUUUGGGAUGAUUGGAAUGCAAAAGUGGUUCUUCUGGCUACAGUUCCUACUUGUGCUGGUAUGGAGUUCAGUUCACCAUUAUUUUGUUCAUUUGAAUGACCACAGAGUGUACUAUUUUACCAUUUUCCUGAUGCAUCUAAGUUUUAUAUACAAAUAAAUUGUAUGUUUCUGCUGCAAUCACAUCUCUGAUAAAUCAAAAUAGUCUCUAUAAUUCUCCUAUAUGUUUUUCCCAUUUCGGCUGUCAGGUUGCAGGCUUGCAGCUUAUUUCUUUUGUUACUUUGGCAGCCUAAUUGGAGAGGUUUCCUGUGUAGCUCAGUGAGAGUUAGGACUGUAUUUUCCCUCAAACAAGAUAUCCCAUGCCUUUUUUCAUUAAUGUUUCUAUGGUUUGGGAAAGUCCAGUCUUUGGCUUUGGCUUUGGCUUUGCCUUGCAUACCACAUUGAAUCUCUAUUUUCUCUAUAACUCAUUAUCGUCAAUCGAUUUCUUAUCAUUAAUUUUUGAUGUGUACAGUUAGUUUAAUCUCGGCGAUGAAGGCUAAAAAAGAACUACCGUUUGCAAUACAUGCAUGUUUGCUAGAAUGGGUUUGCAAAGAGGAAUUUGGAUGAGUAUGUAUUUCUUGGCAAUCGGCUGCAGGUGUAUAUGCACCUUAGUUUGAGAGAUUUUUGGAUACCAACAAGAAACUGGAGGUCGGGAGAAAUAAAGUCCUCAACCAAAUAAGAUGUAUGGUUUCACCAUUUUCUAUAAAAUAUCUGCAUCUUAUAAUUUAGUGUUGUGAUGGUAAAAAUAAGAAGAAUUUGCAGUUAGGGAAGGAAGUCCAGGUUGAAGGACAAUAAAACAUGAUGUAGUGUAGCAUGUCUAAUUUUUCAAUUCGAACCAUUUAAAUGUAGAUUCAUGAACCAUUUAAAUGUAGAUUCAUGUGUAUUGUUUCCUUAUCAUUGUUUUAAAUUAAUUCCAAUGGUACUUGAGCACUUCUUGCGUAUUUUUUUACCAUACACCCUCAUAUAUUUAUAUCUUUUUUGUAUCCUUCUGUGACGUGGAUGUUGAUACAAAACGUGGAUAAGUUGGUGGCAGCCUUAUAUUGUACUGCACAUGAUUAGCUCCAAAGUUGAGUUACUCAACUAUAUUUACCUGUAUGGAAAACAAUAUCGAGAAUUUUUUUUAAAAAAUAUUUUCAUGUGUUAUGUUAUUUGUCAACAUAACCCCAGAUUUUGCGGCGUCGUCCUCACCGGAAGCAGCACCGCCUCUGCCCCGUGCGACAUUGUCGUCCCCAUCAAGCCGCACCAGAGGGAGAUGCUUAGCUGCGGCCACACAAACGGAUGGGGACGUCAAGCCAAGCUGGUGGCUGGUGGCCUACCAUCGUGUCAACUUACACAGAAUAGGAGCAGAGGAAUCUUGAGCGCGGCGUCCAGACCUGGAGUGGAGGACAUGGGUCGCCAUGAAGCAAUUGCCCCUUCGUUGUGAAGUUGCAGGUGUGUACAUAAGCUUUUUGUGUAAAUGCCUAAGAGCAAAGACCUCUCCUGGAAGAAUGCUCACAGCUCAGCUUGAAUUUGUAAGUUAAUUGUCCUCUCAGAUGCACCCCUCUUGAUGCUUUAUAUGUUUCAACAUGGAUUCUUGGUUCCUAUAAAUUUACAGGUUAUGAUGUUGUGAUGAACUUGCAGCAAUGAAGUGAUUUGGGUAACGUCUUGCUUUUUAAAAUGUCUUUCAUGUACUUCUGUGGCAUUGAAGGAGCGAGGCAAUUCCUCCCAAUAUAGAAUUUGCAGCGGAUGAAGAUGCUAGAAGUACAGGUUAUAUUGUCUUAUGAAUUGUCUAAGGAAGUCCUAUAUUAUUUAUCUGUUGCUUGACCAAUGGUUUGUCGAACUGAAACAGUAUGGCCAUGUGCCCAUGUGCCCAUGUUAUUUCUUUGUUUGCCAAAAUAAAUUUAACUUCCGAUCACAAAAUAAAAGAAUGUCCAAUGGAUAUCUCUUCGCAUUGGUUUAAUUCUGUAUCCUGAAACAGCUACUGAACAAUGACUAUUGAUAAAGCUGUUAUGAACACCCUCUUAGUUACAAUCAUAUUUUGUGAAACUGCUUUUACACCGACUUUCCUAGAACUGGUAAUGAGUAUAUAUUUUUAACGCUUAAUGCAAUGCAGAUUUGUAGGGUAUCAAGAAAGAAAGGUAUUGUUAGUUAUAUUCUGUUGUAGUAAUGUAGUGCCCGGAAUUAGAUGUACCAUAUUCUCAUUAGCUUUGGCCUAAAUAAGAACUAUUAGAAAGGUUUGGGUGUUACUUCAGUUACAAUUUACACUGUCUUCCUUUAGAAAAUAGUUAUCUUAUGGCUUGCACUAUUGUUCCUUUCUUCAGAGAUAAAAUGCUUCAUGUGGUCGUUCGUGUAAUUAAAUUGGAGAGAAACAUGAAGAAGUUUGAUGGCACC